Molecule: ribosomal RNA, 707 nt
Filed under: uncultured Lachnospiraceae bacterium
Lineage: Bacteria; Bacillati; Bacillota; Clostridia; Lachnospirales; Lachnospiraceae
Description: bacterial SSU rRNA
Rfam family: Bacterial small subunit ribosomal RNA
Source: RNAcentral
CUAACACAUGCAAGUCGAACGAGCGAGAGAGAGUUUACUUUUUCGAGCGAGUGGCGAACGGGUGAGUAACGCGUGAGGAACCUGCCUCAAAGAGGGGGACAACAGUUGGAAACGACUGCUAAUACCGCAUAAGCCCACGGCUCGGCAUCGAGCAGAGGGAAAAGGAGCAAUCCGCUUUGAGAUGGCCUCGCGUCCGAUUAGCUAGUUGGUGAGGUAACGGCCCACCAAGGCGACGAUCGGUAGCCGGACUGAGAGGUUGAACGGCCACAUUGGGACUGAGACACGGCCCAGACUCCUACGGGAGGCAGCAGUGGGGAAUAUUGCACAAUGGGGGAAACCCUGAUGCAGCGACGCCGCGUGGAGGAAGAAGGUCUUCGGAUUGUAAACUCCUGUUGUUGAGGAAGAUAAUGACGGUACUCAACAAGGAAGUGACGGCUAACUACGUGCCAGCAGCCGCGGUAAAACGUAGGUCACAAGCGUUGUCCGGAAUUACUGGGUGUAAAGGGAGCGCAGGCGGGAAGACAAGUUGGAAGUGAAAUCCAUGGGCUCAACCCAUGAACUGCUUUCAAAACUGUUUUUCUUGAGUAGUGCAGAGGUAGGCGGAAUUCCCGGUGUAGCGGUGGAAUGCGUAGAUAUCGGGAGGAACACCAGUGGCGAAGGCGGCCUACUGGGCACCAACUGACGCUGAGGCUCGAAAGUGUGGGUAG